Molecule: non-coding RNA, 101 nt
Organism: Brassica napus (rape)
Lineage: Eukaryota; Viridiplantae; Streptophyta; Magnoliopsida; Brassicales; Brassicaceae
Source: Rfam
AGUCCCCUUUGAUAUUGGCCUGGUUCAUUCAGAUCUUCUUGAACCAUAUAUGCAUUCUCUUUGAUAUCUGAUUGAGCCGCGCCAAUAUCUCAGUGCUCUCU